GGCCGACUAGCUCAGUUGGUUAGAGCGUGGUGCUAAUACGUUGAUUGGCCACAGUCAAUCAUGUAACGCCAAGGUCGUCGGUUCGACCCCGGCGUUGGCCA
This is a non-coding RNA of Trametes elegans, 101 nucleotides long. Lineage: Eukaryota; Fungi; Basidiomycota; Agaricomycetes; Polyporales; Polyporaceae. The record is from the annotation of a GenBank genome assembly.